Molecule: unclassified non-coding RNA, 253 nt
Filed under: uncultured Flavobacteriaceae bacterium
Lineage: Bacteria; Pseudomonadati; Bacteroidota; Flavobacteriia; Flavobacteriales; Flavobacteriaceae
Description: contains 16S-23S intergenic spacer region
Rfam family: Bacterial small subunit ribosomal RNA
Source: RNAcentral
UACGGAGGAUGCAAGCGUUAUCCGGAAUCAUUGGGUUUAAAGGGUCCGUAGGCGGGCCAGUAAGUCAGUGGUGAAAGUCUGCAGCUUAACUGUAGAAUUGCCUUUGAUACUGCUGGUCUUGAAUGUGUAGGAAGUGGCUGGAAUGAGUGGUGUAGCGGUGAAAUGCAUAGAGAUCACUCAGAACACCAAUUGCGAAGGCAGGUCACUACUACAUCAUUGACGCUGAUGGACGAAAGCGUGGGGAGCGAACAGG